GCCAAUCACACACACAGCAGUUAGACAUGACUUCCUUUCCUGUUCUGGGGCAGCAGCAGCUUGGAGCUCAGUAGUACCUCCCUCACCCUAUCAGCCUUCCCACCCAGUACAGAGCACUGGAGUCAAAGAAGAAUUUCUUCUGAAGGAAGAAGGCAAACAUGGUGCUGCCCAGACUGCUGAAACUGGUCAUAGUGUCCAUGUGGCUGGGAUCCAGUUUUGCCCAGAAGGUGACUCAAGCCCAGCCAGCCAUGUGGGUGCAAGAGAAGGAGGCUGUGAGCCUGCACUGCUCCUAUGACACCAGUGCUGGAAGUUAUGAUCUCCUCUGGUACAAGCAGCCCAGCAGUGGGGAGAUGGUCUUCCUCAUCCUUCAGAACUCUUACAGCCAGCAAAAUGCCACAGAAGGUCGCUACUCAGUGAAUUUGCAGAAGGCAAGCAAAUCCAUUCAACUUGUCAUCUCAGCCUCACAGCUGGGGGACUCAGCAGUGUAUUUCUGUGCACUGAGAGAUAGAUAGCACAGUGAGAGAACUGUUGG
Molecule: non-coding RNA, 532 nt
Organism: Marmota flaviventris (yellow-bellied marmot)
Lineage: Eukaryota; Metazoa; Chordata; Mammalia; Rodentia; Sciuridae
Source: the annotation of a RefSeq genome assembly